RNAcentral lists this long non-coding RNA (336 nucleotides) under Salmo salar (Atlantic salmon). RNAcentral describes it as "lncRNA (ENSSSAG00000106028.1)". The record is from RNAcentral. Lineage: Eukaryota; Metazoa; Chordata; Actinopteri; Salmoniformes; Salmonidae.
UGCUGAAUACAACAGGUGUAGUAGACCUCACAGUGAAAUGCUGAAUACAACAGGUGUAGUAGACCUCACAGUGAAAUGCUGAAUACAACAGGUGUAGUAGACCUCACAGUGAAAUGCUGAAUACAACAGGUGUAGUAGACCUUACAGUGAAAUGCUGAAUACAACAGGUGUAGUAGACCUCACAGUGAAAUGCUGAAUACAACUGGUGUAGUAGACCUCACAGUGAAAUGCUGAAUACAACAGGUGUAGUAGACCUCACAGUGAAAUGCUGAAUACAACAGGUGUAGACCUCACAGUGAAAUGCUGAAUACAACAGGUGUAGUAGACCUCACAGUG